RNAcentral lists this small RNA (1648 nucleotides) under Oryza sativa Japonica Group (Japanese rice). RNAcentral describes it as "sRNA Os05g0585450". The record is from RNAcentral. Lineage: Eukaryota; Viridiplantae; Streptophyta; Magnoliopsida; Poales; Poaceae.
ACGAAUAUUUCAAAAUCCCCCUAUUUUACAGUUAAACGAUAUGCGCACAUCCAUCAUCAGAUCAUGGUCAUGAGACACAACACAAUUUAGCAUAGUGUUUGAUUACCUAGAAGGUACAUGGAACCAUUUGAUGCAGGUUUAGACGAUAUAGUAUCCCCUAGUCUGCACAAAAGAUGACAAGAAGAUAGAUCAGAAGAGAAUAGCUCCAUUGCACCUUAGUAAAUGAAGAAAGGUGCAAUUUAAACAGAACUGAACAAAACAACUAAUGAUAGUAUCUUACGUAAAUGUAUAUUUCUGUGCUCCAGUUGUCGAAAUGCUGUUCUCUGAAGACAGAUGCCAUGAAAGGGUCUUGGCUGCAGUCCAAAUAUGAAAUGUUGUUUGUUGGUUCAUAUGAAAAGUAGCAUCCAUAAAAUUUGCAAUCUGAACAAAAAGGAACAAGAAGGUCCAUACCUGAAGGAUAAGGUUUAGGUUUUGAAUCCUGACCAUUGUCUGUUUGCAGGCGUGCAGCUUGAGUUCUUUUAUGACCGGUAGCUAGCUUGGCAAGUAAGUAUAGGCAAGAUUUAGCAUUUAAUUGGAAAAAACAGUGGAGAAGUUCUUAAUUGUAUACAUCCUUACAUGGUAGGAUAUAGUGCUUAUGAUGUUUAAAAGUUGUUCCACCAAUCUUCUGCUGCCUGAGGCCUGCUCUGUCGGUGAAGAUUUGGCAGGUGAGGAUUUGCUAUAAAUUGGAGGAUAGGAUAAACUGAUAUUGUCAGUUAAAUUGUCAUGGUUUGAUCAGCACAUACUGCAUGCAAAGCAGAUAUAGCUUUACCUGGUUUAAGCGUGCAACCUUCAGCUCAACCGUAGAGACCUCAGAAGCUUGCUGUUCAAACAGGUCCGUUAAUUUGUAUGCAACAGUACCAAGGUGAUCAACAGCAUUGACGACAGCUCGUACAGCAUAAUCUUUCAGGUUUUCCAGCACCCUAUAUCAGCAGAAAAGCUUCAAAUUAUGAAAAUACGAUGCACUAAGAAACAAUGCUUUAGAAUUACCAUAUGGUCUUUUUCUAAAAUAAACAUUUUAGAACCCAUGUUUCAGAAUUUCUUCUACAUUAACAAAUAUGAGAAAAGCCCCUAAUAGUAACAUGUGGGCUGCAAAAUUCCAAAUUGAAUAUACUAGUAGUAUACAGAGAUGGUGGUUAGAUAAAUCCAAAAUUCCAGAGAAUACAGACAUCCUAUAUUCUUCUUUAGGCAGUAGAGUUUGUUUUGUUGUCACAUCUCAACAUCAAGUCCCCUUGCCACACAUGUUGCUGUCCUCCUUCACUUAUUAGGUGGUUUUAGCCUCCAAUACCUAUCAUAUAAUUAACUGCUAGCACACGAUGUACCAACGAUUCGAUUCAAUUCAAUUCAACCCCUAAAACAAAAGACGAAAGUAGAGCUAGAUACCAUGCAAGAUGCAAAUUUACCACUGAUUUUAUGAUUGUAAAUUAAAAUGGUAAGUGGUAACAAAAUGCACCAAAGAGCUAAAACCUCACUCACAUCUGCUUCUGCUCGCUGUGGAGGUAGGAUUUCUCGCAGUACUCGGAGGCGGAGUAGAGCUGAGGCCGCAGGUUCUUGAGCUCCUGCACACGCACAGACGCAAGGCAUCACCACCACCACAAACCAAGAACCGGCC